This 1580-nucleotide long non-coding RNA is filed under the name Lynx pardinus (Iberian lynx). The record is from RNAcentral. Lineage: Eukaryota; Metazoa; Chordata; Mammalia; Carnivora; Felidae.
UUCAUUUAUUUUUGUUAAUUUAACACUUUUUUUCAAGGAAAUUUCUUUUGAGAUGAGGAAAUAAACUUUAUAGUAAGUUACCCUAUAUUUUCAGAUUUUAGGUGCAGACAUGUAGGUUAAGUUUAUAGUCUGUACGACAGUACACUUCUGCAUAUUUUGUUCGUGUGUGUGUGUGUGUGUGUGUGUGUGUGUGUGUGUGUGUAAACUUCCAGGCAUAUCCUACCUAACAUCUAACCAUUCUCUAUUCUCACCACUCUUGUAUGGAGGAAUUUUUAAUAUGCUUACAACAUAUUUCUUCGAGAAAAAUAAGACUAUUUAAAUGCAAAGUUAUCUGUAAAAUAUCUUUUUCCAUUUUUUGAGUAUUCACUCAUUUAAAUGACAAAGAAAUUAUUCCGCUUGAAAAUUAUAAAGGAUAUAGUGCUUUUGUCAUAGACACUUUUACUUUCCCUCAUAAUGCCUUUUUUUUGUCUGUCCAGGUCUAUUUCCAAAAACCAUCCUAAAUUGGACCUUACUAAAAAUGACACCAAAUAAUAGCAGAAGGCGAGUGGUGAGCAGGACAAUUGACUUUCACUUUCAAACUUCGCUAAAACUAGAUGUGUAUUUAUACUUUUCAUGAUGUACCUUGGUCAAGAACAUAUUGAAAUUAUAUUAAAUUAUCUAUUAAAAACCAAAAUUAUUUUUGGGAAACUCUCCCCCUGUGUAAUUUUUAGUUUUACUCUUCUCUACUAGUACAUAGUUAAAGCAAAUAUUAUGUGGCAUGGUUACUGUCAGUAUUUCACCCAUUUUGGUGAAAAAAAUGUAAGUCUUACAAAUAGCUUACAGAAAAAUAAUAAACUCUUUUAAGAAAGUGAAAUAUGCUUUUAAGAUAUGCUUUCAGUUAAUUUCUAAUCUAGAAGGAGGCUUAUUUGGUGGUUGUACCCUAUAAUUAGGGAGAUCAGUAAUCAAGACAACUGUGAUUUAUUUUACUAGGAGAGCUCAGAGACUGAAGACAUCUGGCCUAGACCAGUCUGCUGGUAAAAUUCAGAAUACACCUAAAUUUGCUUUUACAGGAUUCUCUUCAGAGGAAUAGGAGGAGAGGUUAUAUUCUCUGCAUGAGGACAAGUCUACAGUGUCAAAAUCAAGUAAUAUUUGUCUUCUGACAGCAGAACGUUGUAUCAUAUUUCUAAGGACGGUAAGCACUUGGGUGGACGUCAAUGAAUACUAAACACUAAUUGGUCUGAUACAUCCAUAUGCACAUACGCAAAUACACAUGGUGGCCUGUAAUGGUUGAAAAAUUACAUUUUGCUUCCAUGAAGAGAUGUGUCACUUUUAGGUCAGAGAGGGAUUUUGGAGGGGUAAUCUCCCACAAUAGAAAACUAUCCUGACAAUGGUGGUGGUUGAGCGUUGUUUGUUGUUUGGCUUGUUGAUGAUGCUUAGCCAAGGAGACACUUCCUUUCAGAUCCUGUCUUCCAAACCCCAGGGCUCUGUUCUGGGCAGUUCAGCCUAAUGGAAUUAAGCCUGACACGUUUCAACUCUAUUUCUUUAUAAAAUAAACAUAAAACAAUGGUUUCGAUUUCUAAUAAAACUCUUGAAGCAUGUGG